GUACCCGUAGCGCAGUGGCUAGCGCGCUGGACUUCUAAUCCAGAGAUCGUGGGUUCGAAUCCCGCCGGGGAUG
Molecule: non-coding RNA, 73 nt
Organism: Dreissena polymorpha
Lineage: Eukaryota; Metazoa; Mollusca; Bivalvia; Myida; Dreissenidae
Source: the annotation of a RefSeq genome assembly